GCGGAUGUAGUUUAGUGGUAGAACCUGAGCUUCCCAAGCUUAUAGUGUGGGUCCGAUUCCCAUCAUCCGCUCCA
RNAcentral lists this transfer RNA (74 nucleotides) under Clostridiales bacterium. RNAcentral describes it as "tRNA-Gly". It matches the Rfam family "tRNA". Rfam says of the family: Transfer RNA (tRNA) molecules are approximately 80 nucleotides in length. Their secondary structure includes four short double-helical elements and three loops (D, anti-codon, and T loops). Lineage: Bacteria; Bacillati; Bacillota; Clostridia; Eubacteriales. The record is from RNAcentral.